RNAcentral lists this long non-coding RNA (310 nucleotides) under Homo sapiens (human). Its description in RNAcentral is "HSALNT0185723". Lineage: Eukaryota; Metazoa; Chordata; Mammalia; Primates; Hominidae. The record is from RNAcentral.
UAGUUUUUGGCCCUCCAUGGCACUGUAUGCUGCACUUCACUCUGUGCACCGCCUGGCUGUCUCACUGGAGUCCUGCUGUCUUUUUUCCACCAGUGCAUCCCUGCUGCACGGAACACAGUGGGAGGAAGAUUUAAUGGGAAAGGAAUGAAUGAACUGGAAAGGAACCCAGAAUCACCUUCUUCCCAUUUUUCUGUGCCCCCUGCCGAGAAACCAACCAAGACAAGGGGUCAGAAGAAGCACUGAGAAACCACUGGAGAAUUCACAAGGAUAGUCAAGGUUGACAGGGUCCAUGGAAAGACCCCUAAAAGUA